AACCCCUCGCUGCCAGUUGCCAACGGGUAGGAGCCGGGCACUCUGGCGGGACUGCCAUCGACAAGAUGGAGGAAGGUGGGGGAUGACGUCAAGUCAUCAUGGCCCUUAUGUCCAGGGCGACACACGUGCUACAAUGGCCGGCACAGCGGGAAGCGAGGCAGUGAUGCCAAGCGGAUCCCUUAAAGCCGGUCUCAGUUCGGAUUGAAGUCUGCAACUCGACUUCAUGAAGCUGGAAUCGCUAGUAAUCGCAGAUCAGCCAAGCUGCGGUGAAUACGUUCCCGGGCCUU
RNAcentral lists this ribosomal RNA (287 nucleotides) under uncultured Synergistaceae bacterium. RNAcentral describes it as "partial 16S ribosomal RNA". It matches the Rfam family "Bacterial small subunit ribosomal RNA", at positions 1098 to 1382 of the family's 1533-position model. Lineage: Bacteria; Thermotogati; Synergistota; Synergistia; Synergistales; Synergistaceae. The record is from RNAcentral.